UUUAUUUUUCCAAUGGCAAAUUUGAUUUAAAGGAGUGAUCUGCUUUGAGAUGGACCCGCGGCGCAUUAGCUAGUUGGUAGGGUAACGGCCUACCAAGGCGACGAUGCGUAGCCGACCUGAGAGGGUGAUCGGCCACAUUGGAACUGAGAGACGGUCCAGACUCCUACGGGAGGCAGCAGUGGGGAAUAUUGCACAAUGGGCGAAAGCCUGAUGCAGCAACGCCGCGUGAGUGAAGAAGGUUUUCGGAUUGUAAAGCUCUGUCUUUGGGGACGAUAAUGACGGUACCCAAGGAGGAAGCCACGGCUAACUACGUGCCAGCAGCCGCGGUAAUACGUAGGUGGCAAGCGUUGUCCGGAAUUACUGGGCGUAAAGAGUGCGUAGGCGGAUAUUUAAGUGAGAUGUGAAAUACCCGGGCUUAACCCGGGCACUGCAUUUCAAACUGGAUAUCUAGAGUGCGGGAGAGGAGAAUGGAAUUCCUAGUGUAGCGGUGAAAUGCGUAGAGAUUAGGAAGAAA
This 514-nucleotide ribosomal RNA is filed under the name uncultured Clostridium sp. RNAcentral describes it as "bacterial SSU rRNA". It matches the Rfam family "Bacterial small subunit ribosomal RNA", at positions 173 to 707 of the family's 1533-position model. Lineage: Bacteria; Bacillati; Bacillota; Clostridia; Eubacteriales; Clostridiaceae. The record is from RNAcentral.